AUCUUUACCAUAAUGAACUACAAAAAGACAAGAUCAACUGGAAGAUACUGGACUGGUAUCACGACUACCACCUGAUCGCAAGUUCCAUUUUGUCCUCGGUUUCUUCCGUUGAAGGAUGUGUUCCUAUUAAACAGUUCUUGUCCUGAGGUGGUUCUUUUUUGUUCCAGUCACAAGCUCAAGUUUGCCUCUCCAAUUUCGACCUCACCCGAAACCACAACUGCAGCUCCUUACACAGCAGCUUUGAGGACGAGGAAGCCAAAAGGAUAGUACAAUCAAUGCCCGGGCGGUAGUAUACAGCAACAAUCACAUGAUCCAGCCAGCCAAUCAAAUGGCUCCACUGAGCACAAUCAUCGAAAGAAGCUCUGACACUGAAUACUUUUAACAAUGAUGAACAGUGAGGGUGUGAGGAGGAGUUUCAGUGACCACGGGGUGAUGAGGAACAAGCAAUAAGAUAGUGAGUGGAGCAUGGGAGAAGGUAUAUGGUGUGGCACGACAUGGGAAGUGCAUAUGGUAUAUUAUAUGGUACAAGGUGAGUAUGUGUGGUAGUGGUAUAUAUGUGUAUAAAAAAAUAACUGCUUGAAUAAUGUGGAAGAAUUUCGAAUUUUAAUUGGUGUUGCAUGCCCUCUCUUCUUUUAUAUGCCCUUGAUAUUAGUGCAUAUGAUAUUUAUUAGCCUGGGAACGUUUUCAGCCAGAAAGCUGUAUUUUGUCGGUUAAUUGAAUAAGCUACGUCAGUAUAGAAUUGUAUUU
Halichondria panicea is the source of this 747-nucleotide long non-coding RNA. RefSeq lists it as uncharacterized. NCBI's taxonomy places the organism in Eukaryota, Metazoa, Porifera, Demospongiae, Suberitida, Halichondriidae. The transcript is spliced from 4 exons. The record is from RefSeq and is a predicted model, not a curated record.